Planococcus citri (citrus mealybug) is the source of this 858-nucleotide long non-coding RNA. RefSeq lists it as uncharacterized. The transcript is spliced from 5 exons. The record is from RefSeq and is a predicted model, not a curated record. NCBI's taxonomy places the organism in Eukaryota, Metazoa, Arthropoda, Insecta, Hemiptera, Pseudococcidae.
AAAUGGGUUAUUCUUGAUGUGCUUACUUGGAAAAGCUCGAAGUUUCUUUCAAUUACCAGAUUAUUUUGUUCAUUUUAGAGCCAUCUGGGCUUGCCUAUAAUUUUUUGCACCAUGAUGAAGUUCAGUUUAUCAAUUUGUAUCUGUUUUUUAGUGUUUUAUAAUGGAAGUGCAGCAGUAAUAAACAAUGAAAACUUGCAGCCAACCUUUGGAUCAUUUUUUGGCUCGUGUCCUGAAGUAAAGGGAAUUCCUCGUUCUCUCUUUGAAGGCUCUGAAAAAGAAUGGUAUACGCAUCGUGUGCUGGGGAACUCGCCAUUAACGUAUGUGAGAUGCCUAUCCAACAAAUUUGAUUUCAAAACAGAGGACAAGCCCAGCAUAAAAACACAAUUUUUACUACCCAUUUUACCCAUAUCGUUCGAAAUUACUGGAGACAUUCGUUCUUCGAAUCCAGGAGAAUAUACAGUGAAUUAUGCUCAUGAAGUGCUUGGUAAUAUACUUGGGAAACUUGUUGUGACGCAAAAUCUUGGCAACACUGCAGUGGUAUGGAACUGUUUGGACUUCAAAUUUUUCCACUUGGAGAGUGUUGAGGUGUGGGAUACGACUUCUUCCGAUUCCCUUAUCUCAGGUUCAUUAAACAGGGCUACUCAAGCUGGUGCCAGAAGAUUAGGUAUUCCACCGUACCCUAACCCCUUUUCUGAGAUUGAUCAGAAAUCAUGCAAAUGAAUCCUAUUGUGUAAUCGAUUGGCCUAAUAUGUACUUGUAUUAAUGACUAGGUACCUAGUACCUACCUAUUUUAGCCUCGUCUUCGUGUAUCCAAGUACCUAUACUUACGUACAAUAAAAUAUAUGUAUAUUAGCAUUA